UGUUGGUGAUGUGGGCUGUCCCUGAGAAGAUAUUUGAACCUCUCCCAUGCUUGAUAUAAAUUCUCAUCCUUCUAUUUAAAACUGAGAAUUUCACUACUUAACCU
Capsicum annuum is the source of this 104-nucleotide small nucleolar RNA. Lineage: Eukaryota; Viridiplantae; Streptophyta; Magnoliopsida; Solanales; Solanaceae. The record is from RefSeq and is a predicted model, not a curated record.